CAAGUCCAGAGAUUUCCCAGAAGGAAUUUUCUAGGGUUUUGGAAUGAUUUUUUGGUUUUUCUUCCAAAAUAUUGAAUUCGAUUAAUGGGGGCGUAAAAGCUCUGAUUCUGCUAUUGCUUUUGCUGUCGUUUUGGUGUAGUAACAUGGCAGAGAGAAACACAAUACUCACCUCUGAGAAACAUUCCACUCCUUCCUCUCUGAAUCCUCCCUCCCGCAUUAUCUGUCAUGUAUGCCAUAAGCAAU
Molecule: unclassified non-coding RNA, 243 nt
Filed under: Hevea brasiliensis (rubber tree)
Lineage: Eukaryota; Viridiplantae; Streptophyta; Magnoliopsida; Malpighiales; Euphorbiaceae
Source: RNAcentral